This 253-nucleotide unclassified non-coding RNA is filed under the name Geminicoccaceae bacterium. RNAcentral describes it as "partial 16S ribosomal RNA". It matches the Rfam family "Bacterial small subunit ribosomal RNA", at positions 524 to 776 of the family's 1533-position model. RNAcentral also lists the same sequence under 1 other name. The record is from RNAcentral. Lineage: Bacteria; Pseudomonadati; Pseudomonadota; Alphaproteobacteria; Geminicoccales; Geminicoccaceae.
UACGGAGGGGGCUAGCGUUGUUCGGAAUUACUGGGCGUAAAGCGCACGUAGGCGGUCUCGCAUGUCAGAUGUGAAAGCCCCGGGCUUAACCUGGGAACUGCAUUUGAAACUGCGAAACUCGAGGCCCGGAGAGGGUAGUGGAAUUCCCAGUGUAGAGGUGAAAUUCGUAGAUAUUGGGAAGAACACCGGUGGCGAAGGCGGCUACCUGGACGGGUUCUGACGCUGAGGUGCGAAAGCGUGGGGAGCAAACAGG